This is a long non-coding RNA of Cyprinus carpio carpio, 1844 nucleotides long. Lineage: Eukaryota; Metazoa; Chordata; Actinopteri; Cypriniformes; Cyprinidae. The record is from Ensembl.
GUUAAAUGGCUGUCAACUGGAUAUUUUUUAUCAUAUUAAUUACAUGAUAUAAUAAUUAAUAUAUUCAAUUAAUCACAAUAAAAUUACAUAAUAUUUGGUGAGAAAAUGAAGCUCAUUUAAACAGUACAUGUGGAAAGCACAAAAAAUGAGUGAUUUUUUGCACUUAUUGAACAAAUUCAAAAUGACAAAAAGUUGUGUUUCUAAGGAAAGAUUAAGACAACAGCUGAAAUAACUUAAUCUGAAUGCAUAAUGUUGCCUUGAAUUUGUAGCUUUUCUCCAUUUUUUUUUUUUUUUUUUUUUAAAGUUCAAAUUAAGUGGCGUCUAAUAACUCUGCACACUUGUGAUCAUUUGUUUUGGAUACACUAUAAAGUAUUGGAUUUGUGAUUUGUGACUCAAUAAUAGACUCUGUGUUAAUUAUACACCCAGUUUUAGUCUCUAUUUUAAUAAUUUUACAGAUAAACCCUUCAAAUCUCAGUUUUUGCUGCAUCACUGGAGUACUGAUCUGGGCAGCAUGAUGAUCCUGUAGAUACACAGCUUGCAUAUAACUACAUUUGUGUCACGGGGUGACGAAAGAGAAGCGGAACUAAGUCCCGUUGGGAUUGUGUUCCCCCCGGGACGGUGUCGCGGUAACACCGGUCCACUUCCGGGUUGCGCCCGAUGUCACAAUAACAACGCUAAUGAUAGAUUGACAUCUGGUGUGGGGAGUUUGACGUGGCGAUCUGUGAGAGGAUUAUGGAGGCGGAGUAACCACAUAAAAAGAGAAGUGCAGAGACCAAAAAGGAGGUGAAUUUCUGGGACGUUUGGGCUGGCGUGUGGAGGUAUUCGAGGACUAUUGUGGGGUUUCGGCUAUCUGGCUGUGCAACAGUUAUAUCAGCGAUCGAGUGGAGAUAUUCGGGACAGAAAGAGUGUGAGUUCUGGAAAGCAAGUGGAGACCAGGCCGUGCCAUCCCUAUCGGAGGGAAGUUAAGAGAUCUGAUCUGGGACUUCGAUCAAUUGUAUACAUCUGGACUGGGAGUGAUAACGUUGUGAAGUGGACGGAGCCAUCGUUGGAUCGCAGGAUCCUCUGGGCUGAACGCCGCAUGUGAUGUCCCUAUGAAAGGAGGUGGACACAAGAAUUAUUCUUUUCCUGGUUACAACCGAAGCAUCUCCCAGCCGUAAGCCCCAUUACUUAUUCUAGAACACAUACUUACUGUUGGUUACUUACUCUGCGGUGCAGAUCGCAGGAUCCUCUGGGCUGAACGCCGCAUGUGAUGUCCCUAUGAAAAGAGAUUGCAGGAUCCUCUGGGCUGGACGCUGCAUGUGAUGUCCCUGUAAAAGGAGGUGGACACGAGAAUUAUUCCUUUUCCCGGUCUCGACCGAAACAUCCACGAGCUCUACUUACCCGGAUAUCCCCCCCUCAUUCCGGGACGGGUGACAGACUAUCCUGGCUCUUGCCGGCCCCGUACAGGCACGAACUGCCGACGACUCCACGCCUCCCCGGCGUCCGAGGUCUGGCUUCGUUCUGGUCGGGAGACACGGAAGGAACACUGAACUUUUAAAUUGCUUUUAACCAAAUAAAACCUUGUUCAAUUUUUUUUAUACUCUCGUCCGUCUGGUUCUUCUGGUACGCUCUCUGAGGUGAUCCUGGGUUUCAGGGGCGGGUGCAGUCCGGCUUGGCCCCCCCGACCUGUGACAUUUGCAUUGUCUUGAGAUUUGCAAUCUUGUUGAUGGUUUAAACAAGCAUUGUAUUUCAUGGAUAUAUUUCUGCUUAUCAAAGUCUUCAUGUUUAAAUAAAACACAAUUUUGCUUAAACUAAUCUAUAAGCUAAAUUAAAUUACAAUUCUUUUUUUACUUUAUAUUUUUUUU